GUCUCUCACGAAUACAAUGAGCCGCGCGCGCUAGGCGGAGCGAACAAAUCCAACCACAUGGGUGGCGGUGGCGGCAGUGGGACCGAGGAAGUGACCCGCGUCCGGCGGUCUGGAGCAUGCUGAUGGCCGCGACGGGGACGGCCCCCUCAGUCAAACUCUAGAGCUUUUUCCCGAACAUAUUGGAGAUCGACAAGAAUGGCGGCAAUCGCAACUACGACCUACGGCGGAGGAGAAACUGAUCGUGAGCAAUGGAGGCCCGACGGCGCUGCUCUUGUUGGACUCAACGGUGCUCUCGGUGCACCGCCGAUGGGUGCUCCCGGCCCCGGUGGGGUCGCCAUUAGCCCGUGACCAUGGACUAGCGGUGAACUGGGGACUCCGUCCAUGGGGGACGGCGAGCACUGGUGCUCUGCUGGCGAACGCUUGUUGCAGGGACAUGGAGAUCUCCUACGAUGGGGAAUGGAGAGAGCUUUGGUAGAUAGACCUGUUCUAUCUGGGUGCGAACAAAAUUUCAUCUCUCUUGGAGUUUUUUUUGUGUGUGUCAGAUAGUAGAGAGGAACACCGCUAGUGAGAGGAUUCUUAUCACUACCAGCAGAUCAAGCCUUCCCAUGAGUUUGUUGCCAAGGAUUUGCAUGGAGCGAAGUGGAGGUUCCGCCAUUAUAAGAGAGGCAGAGAAAACUAUUUUGUAGGCUUUUAAACUAAGCACAAAAUUAAGACAUGUUCUGCGUCAAGGAUAGGAAUUAUAAUAUGUAAAGGUAAGAUGGGAGGAUGGCACAGACUGUACUACCAAAUUAGACUAUCUCCAUGGGAGAUCGAGAUUGUUCGUGAUUCAAUCUCUACUGCUCAGUGUCUGGCACUAUCGAUGACCUGCAGACACAAACAGUGUUGUAACCUUUCCUUUAUUAUUCCAGGACCACCCAAAUUAAUGGUUCUACAUCUAAUGUAGAUUAUAUAUGUAUGAACCCUGUCUCUGGCCGCAUCAAUGACUUGCAGACACAAACAUU
This is a long non-coding RNA of Triticum aestivum (bread wheat), 1001 nucleotides long. RefSeq lists it as uncharacterized. Lineage: Eukaryota; Viridiplantae; Streptophyta; Magnoliopsida; Poales; Poaceae. The transcript is spliced from 3 exons. The record is from RefSeq and is a predicted model, not a curated record.